Molecule: transfer RNA, 87 nt
Filed under: Gammaproteobacteria bacterium
Lineage: Bacteria; Pseudomonadati; Pseudomonadota; Gammaproteobacteria
Description: tRNA-Leu
Rfam family: tRNA
About the family: Transfer RNA (tRNA) molecules are approximately 80 nucleotides in length. Their secondary structure includes four short double-helical elements and three loops (D, anti-codon, and T loops). Further hydrogen bonds mediate the characteristic L-shaped molecular structure. tRNAs have two regions of fundamental functional importance: the anti-codon, which is responsible for specific mRNA codon recognition, and the 3' end, to which the tRNAs corresponding amino acid is attached (by aminoacyl-tRNA synthetases). tRNAs cope with the degeneracy of the genetic code in two manners: having more than one tRNA (with a specific anti-codon) for a particular amino acid; and 'wobble' base-pairing, i.e. permitting non-standard base-pairing at the 3rd anti-codon position.
Source: RNAcentral
GCCGAAGUGGUGGAACUGGUAGACACGCUACCUUGAGGGGGUAGUGGGCUUUGGCCCGUGGAGGUUCGAAUCCUCUCUUCGGCACCA